Molecule: non-coding RNA, 81 nt
Filed under: human gut metagenome
Description: ZMP/ZTP riboswitch
Rfam family: ZMP/ZTP riboswitch aptamer (pfl RNA motif)
About the family: Previously known as pfl RNA. ZMP is also known as AICAR.
Source: RNAcentral
UUUUCGUAACUGACGGAAUGUGGAGUACCACAGGGGAGCGGAGAGUUUGCCGAGGCAUCGGUGCCGACCGUCUGGGCACGC